UACGGGAGGCAGCAGUGGGGAAUAUUGCACAAUGGGCGCAAGCCUGAUGCAGCGAUGCCGCGUGGAGGAAGAAGGUUUUCGGAUUGNAAACUCCUUAUCUGAGGGANGAUAAUGACGGUACCUCANGANAAAGCUCCGGCUAACUACNUGCCAGCAGCCGCGGUAAU
RNAcentral lists this ribosomal RNA (167 nucleotides) under uncultured rumen bacterium. RNAcentral's name for it is "partial 16S ribosomal RNA". It matches the Rfam family "Bacterial small subunit ribosomal RNA", at positions 340 to 524 of the family's 1533-position model. The record is from RNAcentral.